Molecule: ribosomal RNA, 528 nt
Filed under: Zanchiella ericae
Lineage: Eukaryota; Metazoa; Arthropoda; Insecta; Hemiptera; Miridae
Description: partial 16S ribosomal RNA
Rfam family: Bacterial large subunit ribosomal RNA
Source: RNAcentral
GGUCUUUUGAUUUUAUAAAAGAUCUGGCCUGCCCAAUGAUUCAUUGAAUGGCUGCAGUAUUUUGACUGUACAAAGGUAGCAUAAUCAUUUGUCUUUUAAUUGAGGUCUGGAAUGAAUGGUUGAAUGAAAGAUAUACUUUUUUUAUUUUAUAUAGAAAACUUAAUUUUUAAGUGAAAAAGCUUAAAUAUGUUUGUGGGACGAGAAGACCCUAUAGAACUUUAUUUAUUUUUUUAUAAGUCAUAUAUAGUAUAUGACUAUGAUUUAUAUUUUAAAAAUUUAGUUGGGGUGACUAAAAAAAUCUUAUAACUUUUUUUAACUUUAACAUAUUUUUAUGUAUUUUUGAUCCUUUUUUUGGAAGAAAGAUUAAGUUACCUUAGGGAUAACAGCGUUAUUAUCUCGGAGAGUUCAUAUCGAUGAGAUAGUUUGCGACCUCGAUGUUGGAUUAAAAUAAGGUAUAGGGGUAGAAUAUUAUAUCCUAGGUCUGUUCGACCUUUAAAUUUUUACAUGAUCUGAGUUCAAACCCGGAGA